This 231-nucleotide unclassified non-coding RNA is filed under the name plant metagenome. Its description in RNAcentral is "partial contains small subunit ribosomal RNA, internal transcribed spacer 1, and 5.8S ribosomal RNA". The record is from RNAcentral.
UCUCCGUUGGUGAACCAGCGGAGGGAUCAUUACAGAGUUGCAAAACUCCCAAACCAUUGUGAACUUUACCUAUCCCGUUGCUUCGGCGGGCGGCCCGGGCCCCGCGCACGGCGCCCCCCGGCCCCCCGUGGGCGCCCGCCGGAGGUAAACCAAACCCUUGAAUUGCAUGGCCUCUCUGAGUCUUUUGUACUGAAUAAGUAAAAACUUUCAACAACGGAUCUCUUGGUUCUG